This 490-nucleotide ribosomal RNA is filed under the name uncultured bacterium. RNAcentral's name for it is "partial 16S ribosomal RNA". It matches the Rfam family "Bacterial small subunit ribosomal RNA", at positions 30 to 507 of the family's 1533-position model. The record is from RNAcentral.
AUUGAACGCUGGCGGCAGGCUUAACACAUGCAAGUCGAGCGGUAGCACAGGGGAGCUUGCUCCCUGGGUGACGAGCGGCGGACGGGUGAGUAAUGUCUGGGAAACUGCCUGAUGGAGGGGGAUAACUACUGGAAACGGUAGCUAAUACCGCAUAACGUCGCAAGACCAAAGAGGGGGACCUUCGGGCCUCUUGCCAUCAGAUGUGCCCAGAUGGGAUUAGCUAGUAGGUGGGGUAAUGGCUCACCUAGGCGACGAUCCCAAGCUGGUCUGAGAGGAUGACCAGCCACACUGGAACUGAGACACGGUCCAGACUCCUACGGGAGGCAGCAGUGGGGAAUAUUGCACAAUGGGCGCAAGCCUGAUGCAGCCAUGCCGCGUGUGUGAAGAAGGCCUUCGGGUUGUAAAGCACUUUCAGCGAGGAGGAAGGUGGUGAGCUUAAUACGUUCAUCAAUUGACGUUACUCGCAGAAGAAGCACCGGCUAACUCCGUG